GUGGGGAAUAUUGGACAAUGGGCGAAAGCCUGAUCCAGCAAUGCCGCGUGAGUGAUGAAGGCCUUAGGGUUGUAAAGCUCUUUUACCAGGGAUGAUAAUGACAGUACCUGGAGAAUAAGCUCCGUCUAACUCCGUGCCAGCAGCCGCGGUAAUACGGAGGGAGCUAGCGUUGUUCGGAAUUACUGGGCGUAAAGCGCACGUAGGCGGUUACUCAAGUCAGAGGUGAAAGCCCGGGGCUCAACCCCGGAACUGCCUUUGAAACUAGGUAACUGGAAUCUUGGAGAGGUCAGUGGAAUUCCGAGUGUAGAGGUGAAAUUCGUAGAUAUUCGGAAGAACACCAGUGGCGAAGGCGACUGACUGGACAAGUAUUGACGCUGAGGUGCGAAAGCGUGGGGAGCAAACAGGAUUAGAAACCCCAGUAGUCC
This 425-nucleotide ribosomal RNA is filed under the name uncultured bacterium. RNAcentral describes it as "partial 16S ribosomal RNA". It matches the Rfam family "Bacterial small subunit ribosomal RNA", at positions 354 to 796 of the family's 1533-position model. The record is from RNAcentral.